ACUUUCAGCAACGGAUGUCUUGGCUCCCACAACGAUGAAGAACGCAGCGAAAUGCGAUACGUCAUGCGAAUUGCAUAUCUUAGUGAGUCAUCAAAAUUUUGAACGCAACUUGCACUUCAAGGAAUUCCUUGGAGUAUGUCUGUUGGAGUGUC
This 152-nucleotide ribosomal RNA is filed under the name Paraphysomonas vestita. RNAcentral describes it as "5.8S ribosomal RNA". It matches the Rfam family "5.8S ribosomal RNA". Rfam says of the family: 5.8S ribosomal RNA (5.8S rRNA) is a component of the large subunit of the eukaryotic ribosome. Lineage: Eukaryota; Chrysophyceae; Chromulinales; Paraphysomonadaceae. The record is from RNAcentral.